AUUGAACGCUGGCGGAAUGCUUUACACAUGCAAGUCGAACGGCAGCACGGGGGCAGCCCUGGUGGCGAGUGGCGAACGGGUGAGUAAUACAUCGGAACGUGCCCGGUCGCGGGGGAUAACGUAGCGACAGAUACGCUAAUACCGCAUACGAUCAGAGGAUGAAAGCGGGGGACCUUCGGGCCUCGCGCGAUCGGAGGAGCCGAUGACAGGAUAGGUAGUUGGUGGGGUAAAGGCCUACCAAGCCGACGAUCUGUAGCUGUUCAGAGAGGACGACCAGCCACACGUGACCUGCGCCCCGGCCCAGACCCCUACGGGUGGCAGCAUUGGGGAUUUUGGCCCAAUGGGCGCAAGCCUGACCCAGCCAUUCCGCGUGCACGACGAAGGCCUUCGGGUUGUAAACUGCUUUUGUACGGAACUAAAAGGCUCUGUCUAAGCCCUGCUGUUCAGGCCGGGACCGUAAGAAAAUCCACCGCCCACCUCCGU
This 483-nucleotide ribosomal RNA is filed under the name uncultured bacterium. RNAcentral's name for it is "partial 16S ribosomal RNA". It matches the Rfam family "Bacterial small subunit ribosomal RNA", at positions 29 to 506 of the family's 1533-position model. The record is from RNAcentral.